This 445-nucleotide ribosomal RNA is filed under the name uncultured bacterium. Its description in RNAcentral is "SSU rRNA". It matches the Rfam family "Bacterial small subunit ribosomal RNA", at positions 26 to 518 of the family's 1533-position model. The record is from RNAcentral.
AGAGCGAACGCUGGCGGCAGGCCUAAAACAUGCAAGUCGAACGGACCCUUCGGGGUUAGUGGCGGACGGGUGGGUAACACGUGGGAACGUGCCUUUUGGUUCAGAACAACUCAGGGAAACUUGAGCUAAUACUGAAUAAGCCCUACGGGGGAAAGAUUUAUCGCCAUUAGAGCGGCCCGCGUUGGAUUAGCUAGUUGGUGAGGUAAAGGCUCACCAAGGCUACGAUCCAUAGCUGGUCUGAGAGGAUGAUCAGCCACACUGGGACUGAGACACGGCCCAGACUCCUACGGGAGGCAGCAGUUAGGAAUCUUGCGCAAUGGGCGAAAGCCUGACGCAGCCAUGCCGCGUGAAUGAUGAAGGUCUUAGGAUUGUAAAAUUCUUUCAGUGGGAAGAUAAUGACUGUACCCACAGAAGAAGCUCCGGCUAACUUCGUGCCAGCAGCCGC